UGAAGUGAGCUUCUGCUUAUCAAUGGGAAUUCAAUACUUAUUAGCAGAUUAAUUAAAGAGAUAGAUGUAGGAAUUUAAUCUACACUAUGAUUGCCACUUUUUCAUUAGGUACUUUUGAUUAUUAAAUCAAUUCAAGUUAAGUAAGUAUUAUUUCUACGUUCGCAAUGAUUUGUAUUCCCCUGUAAUGAUAAGUUAUACUUUUCUGUUUGAGUUGAAAUUAUUUCCUACCUCUGUUUUUAUAUUGCAACGAUAUCAUGUAAGGUACUGCGUUUGUGGGACGUUCCUGUAAUGAAAAUAGUAUUUCCAGUGAUUCCUUUUCUAGAUCUACAGUAGAUAACCAAACUCAUGAUUUUGAAAGAGGGAUGGUAGUAUAAAUGGAGGAAUGUCGCAUUAAUCAAAGUCGAUCUAAAGUGAUUUAAUGCAAUCUCUUUGUCUGCGAGGAAGUCAAUGUUGUAACCUGUUGACACCUAUUUAGAAAACAGAAGAUGAGCGUUCUAAGAAAAGCACCCAAGGCCGAAGCGUCUCAAAUUUAUAUCUACAGUAAAAAGCAGUUCGAUCUAAUUUAUCAUGAUAUAGUCAUCUGAUGUGCAGAAGUCCUAUCCAUAAUAAUUCGGUACCGCCAUGAAGAUUACUUGAAGUCCUCAGAUUUUGAAAAACCUUUUCAAUAAAGAUGAUCUACUUGCUUGCCCCAACUUCGUGCCAUUUCUUGGAAAUGGCAUGGCAUAAAGAUAAUAUGUAUAGUUCGUAUAACAUCUCAAUUAAUCAGUCACCAUAUCGCCCAGAAUAUCUAAAAUGAACGUUCUGAUACGCAGUAAUGAAUAAUAAUGCGGCCAUGAAUUAUAUUCAUUUUGCAUUCAUUAGUAUAGGUAUCUACAUAUGUUACAAUUUGGCCUUUUGAUGAUGAAACAGAAGUCACCUAUAGGAUUCUGAGAUUGGGAAACAGAAAGCAAAGCUCACUAGUCAAUUGGUCUAUGAACUGUAACGAGAAUGGAGACCUAGGCAUCUACAGUUAGUAGCGAAGGAGCAAUACUGCCUUACAGAGUGGAAACUCAUAAAAGGAAUAUACUUAAAUGUAUCUAAGAAUAUCCAAAAAUGUCACGGCAGUUGUUUAUGAAGUCCAAUGAGAAAUGUCACCUUCCUACGUACUAGGAUUAUUUACCUACUUGGUUCAGCGGAAGUAAAAAGACUGAAAACAAAGCAUAAGUUAUUCUUCGAAAAAUUUCUCAUCUUUUUUUGCAUGGAAGAAGCAGAAACAUGGCCACCGAACUAUAAUAUCGAGAAUAUGAGACGUAAACGGUAAAAGCAUCUACAGCAGUGAGUACAGCCAGGCGAAAAGCAGCCGUGAAACUGUUCGAAAAUUGUUGAACUAUAGAGAAUUAUCAUGGCUGAGUUGGAUUUUUUUUUUACUGGUACGACGGAUACAACUUUGGGAAUUCAACUGGCCGAAACUUCAACGAAAUGUACAAAUACUAUUCAUAAUUUGUGCCAUAGCGCGUUUCAACUAUAGGAAAGGAAUGAAUACUCCAUAUGGUAAUCAACGAGUGGACAAAAACCUCCAGCAUAACGAAAAUGUUGCAGCAGUUGUUGAAAGCCGUUAAACUGUUCGAAAAUUGUUGAACUGAGAUAGAUUUUUUUUACUGGUACGACGGAUACAACUUUGGGUAUUCAACUGGCCGAAAUUUCAACAAAAAGCACAAAUACAAUCCAUAAUUUAUGCCAUAGCGCGUUUCAACUAUAGGAAAGGUUUAACUGCUAAACUGCCCAAUAAUGAAUGAAUGGACAAGAACCUCCAGCAUAACGAAAAUGUCGCAGCAGUUGUUGAAGGAAAAGUCUGUUUCUAAAUAGGUUUCUUUGUUGACGAUGAACGCGCCAAGAUCAAAAAAUGGAAAUAGUGCACGCAUUUCUUUUUUUUUUUUUCGUUUCAGAAAUAUGUACGUUCAUUGUUUCAAGUUUUUUCUUCAAUUGAAGAGUAAGUGAUUUGCGUUUCCACGUGGAAAAAGGCAACAAGUUUGGGGAUGUAAUGCAAAAUUACUGUAUUACCUCCCUAGAGUGGAAACUUUUUGUUCAUUUUUCUCGACAUGGAAACACAAAUUACUUAGAGGUCACGUUGGGAAAUGAGCUCUUCAAUAUUAUAAUAUUUAUUUUAUUCAUUGUGAAACAUGUUUAGGCGAAACAAUACUGUAGUUGAUAAAAUACUUGCAUACUUACUUACAUAUGUAUGUAAAUUGAACAUAAAUUUUAUUUAUACGAGUA
Molecule: long non-coding RNA, 2253 nt
Organism: Planococcus citri (citrus mealybug)
Lineage: Eukaryota; Metazoa; Arthropoda; Insecta; Hemiptera; Pseudococcidae
Exons: 2
Source: RefSeq, a predicted model, not a curated record